AAGAUGAACUAAACGUUUUCUUCUUUAACUUUCGGUGUCAGGUACUUUGUCUCAGCAAUGAGGAAAGUAACUAAGGUAACUAAUUGGAUGCUGCUACGUUCGAUCCCUGCCCUGACCCAUGAGAUGGCCUGAAAUGGAGACAGCAUGUGUAUGCUGGUUCUGCUUCUGAUGGUGUUAACUUUGUAUGGAGACCUGGAGGAUGGAGGAUGUUGCAUAUCAGAGAAAACCCACUACACUUGCAGCCUUUGGAGAAGAAAUUGCAAAUGCAUCCUUCCUCCUGAAGAUGCUGAGGUAUGAAGUCCAGGGACGCUGCACUGGGGAGAAACCCAGCGGCUUAUCUUGGUGUACUCAGGCGCCUCUCCACAUCUGUCUCCUGGUCUCACUAUUUUCAUCCAUGAGGACAAGGAGCCCACUAAUUCAAAUGACUCCUCAUUUCUUGGGUCAGAGAGGUUGCAAAACCUAAACCAACUUUUUCUCCAGUUUACCAUUUCAUCAGGAGAUACCUUAUGUUCACUGUAUUGCUUCAUGUCAUUUCCCUUCUCCUCAAUGGAGGUAUCACUGCAUGAAAACAUAAAUGGAUGGAGUUCCAGGGCUUUCUGUACCACAAGCCGCUUUAGUUUACAAGUGAGAAUUCUAAGGUGUUGAGAAGCAAUAUGAUUAAUUCCAUAUCACUGCAUGAUUGGGACUUUCUGGACAAAGAAAGAUGACAUGCUAUAAAUACAGAGAAUAAUAAAAUAUAAAUAAUAUGUAAAUAUUUUUCCAUAUCCAUUUGUUUCUUAUUUUAAGAGUGAAAGAGCCAGAGAUACAUAUUUCUUUUAAGGUGGAACCAUGUGUUUUCAUUCAAAGGAUAAUAAAGGAAUAUUUUUUCUUUGUUAAAAUUCUAAUGUAACAACAUAUGUAUUUAUAAGGAAAAUAUAAAAACACCCUUCUGUGAAAAAAUAAAACAAUUAAUAGGCAAAUGGGUGCAUCUUGCAAAUAUAAUGAUAAGUGAAAUAAGCCAGACACAUGUUUAAAUAGAACUUGGCCAUAUAUAUAUAUAUGGUAUACAUAUAUAUGGCAUACAUAUCUAUGGCAUAUAUGUAUGUGUGUAUAUAUAUAUAUAUCAGAUAAAUAGGAAGUAGGGAGUUCAAAUAGUUCCCCAAAUUAUCUGUUGUGUUGUUCUAAAAAUAUUUUAAUAUAUAUGCUAAUUUGUUUCAUUUGUAC
This 1203-nucleotide long non-coding RNA is filed under the name Chinchilla lanigera (long-tailed chinchilla). RNAcentral describes it as "lncRNA (ENSCLAG00000025301.1)". Lineage: Eukaryota; Metazoa; Chordata; Mammalia; Rodentia; Chinchillidae. The record is from RNAcentral.